This 193-nucleotide unclassified non-coding RNA is filed under the name uncultured fungus. RNAcentral describes it as "sequence contains ITS1, 5.8S rRNA gene". The record is from RNAcentral. Lineage: Eukaryota; Fungi.
ACAAUCCUAAACCGAUUCUUUGGUCCGGUUCUGCCGGUCAAAGUCUUAAACCCUUUGUGAAAACAAAAAUCUUUUGCUUCGGCAGCUGGUCGAGCUCUUUCUCAACCGAAAUCUCGAUCGUCAGCCUGCCGGCGGCACCAACCAAACUUGUUAUUUUCUGUACAGUCUGAAAAACAUUUUUUGAAUGAAAUCA